This 423-nucleotide unclassified non-coding RNA is filed under the name Hevea brasiliensis (rubber tree). The record is from RNAcentral. Lineage: Eukaryota; Viridiplantae; Streptophyta; Magnoliopsida; Malpighiales; Euphorbiaceae.
AGAGAGAGAGAGAGAGAGACUUGGAUAGAUCCAACUAGAAGCAGACAAUCCCUUUUUCACAUGGACUUUUCUCUAGCUAAGCUCUUCUUAAAAUCAUUGAACACACCAUGCUAUGCUAUAAUCAUGAACAUUUUUACAGGAAAAAAUAUAAAAGUUGAUUGGAAAGUUCAGAUAAGAUUCUAACGGUACACUAAUCUGAUGACAAGACAAUCCCACAACUAAGUUUUAUUUUAAUUGUAAUUAAAAUUUGUUUUUGUAUUAUUUGAUAUUGUUGUUAUGGAUAUUAUUGGACAAAAAUUUUCUCAAAUAUAUGAAUUGUAAAUUAAAAAAAAAAUCUUUUUUCUUACCCUUCAAUCAUCUCGUCACCAAACGGCACAUUAAAGAGUCACCAGGAAACUACCUUGAGUUUUUAAUUUUGAAAAA